Molecule: ribosomal RNA, 253 nt
Filed under: uncultured bacterium
Lineage: Bacteria
Description: partial 16S ribosomal RNA
Rfam family: Bacterial small subunit ribosomal RNA
Source: RNAcentral
UACGGGGGGGGCAAGCGUUGUUCGGAAUUACUGGGCGUAAAGGGCGCGUAGGCGGCCCUCUAAGUCGGACGUGAAAUCCCUCGGCUCAACCGGGGAACUGCGUCCGAUACUGGAGGGCUUGAAUCCGGGAGAGGGAUGUGGAAUUCCAGGUGUAGCGGUGAAAUGCGUAGAUAUCGUCAGGAAUGCCGGUGGUGAAGACGGGUGACUGGGCUGGUUCUGACACUGAGGCACGAAAGCGUGGGGAGCGAACGGG